RNAcentral lists this ribosomal RNA (468 nucleotides) under uncultured bacterium. RNAcentral's name for it is "partial 16S ribosomal RNA". It matches the Rfam family "Bacterial small subunit ribosomal RNA", at positions 28 to 507 of the family's 1533-position model. The record is from RNAcentral.
GACGAACGCUGGCGGCGUGCUUAACACAUGCAAGUCGAACGGAGAGGCCCUGCUUUUGUGGGGUGCUCGAGUGGCGAACGGGUGAGUAACACGUGAGUAACCUGCCCUUGACUUUGGGAUAACUUCAGGAAACUGGGGCUAAUACCGGAUAGGAGCUCCUGCUGCAUGGUGGGGGUUGGAAAGUUUCGGCGGUUGGGGAUGGACUCGCGGCUUAUCAGCUUGUUGGUGGGGUAGUGGCUUACCAAGGCUUUGACGGGUAGCCGGCCUGAGAGGGUGACCGGCCACAUUGGGACUGAGAUACGGCCCAGACUCCUACGGGAGGCAGCAGUGGGGAAUAUUGCACAAUGGGCGGAAGCCUGAUGCAGCAACGCCGCGUGCGGGAUGACGGCCUUCGGGUUGUAAACCGCUUUCGCCUGUGACGAAGCGUGAGUAACGGUAAUGGGUAAAGAAGCACCGGCUAACUACGUG